GACAGAGGGUGCAAACGUUGUUCGGAAUUACUGGGCGUAAAGCGUGUGUAGGCGGCUUUGCAAGUCGGAUGUGAAAGCCCCGGGCUCAACCCGGGAAGUGCAUUCGAAACUGCAGGGCUAGAGUCCUGGAGAGGAAGGUGGAAUGCUUGGUGUAGAGGUGAAAUUCGUAGAUAUCAAGCGGAACACCGGUGGCGAAGGCGGCCUUCUGGACAGUGACUGACGCUGAGACGCGAAAGCGUGGGGAGCAAACAGG
This 253-nucleotide ribosomal RNA is filed under the name uncultured bacterium. RNAcentral describes it as "partial 16S ribosomal RNA". It matches the Rfam family "Bacterial small subunit ribosomal RNA", at positions 524 to 776 of the family's 1533-position model. The record is from RNAcentral.